CUCUGCACAGACCUGGAGAAUGAUAUGACAUAUUCCUCAGAAAAGGUUCUGGAGAGAGCACAACGGCAGGAAGAAAUCAUCCAUGAUGCUGACCCACAUGUGACUUGCAGCACCCUGUCAUUCCAGAAGAAACCAGCUUCACAGAGAAAACCUCAGCUCUUUGUCAGCCUGAGUUUUUGGGCUUUGACAAUUCACUGUACUCAUUAUAAUGAAUAGACACUCCUUACAAUAAAUAUAUAGCGGAUCAUGUCCACAGGAGACAACUGACCUCACUGGAUUAAAAUAUUAGUCUUUCUUACUGCAGAAGCUUAAUAAUAAUAAUCAAACAUAUAUUUCCCAGCUAUAGCAAGUGCUAGUAGACUGUUAAACUACAGCAAAACACAUGGAUCAAGAUAGAAUAAAUUUAAUAAAGAU
Non-coding RNA from Lepisosteus oculatus (spotted gar), 414 nucleotides. The record is from RefSeq and is a predicted model, not a curated record. NCBI's taxonomy places the organism in Eukaryota, Metazoa, Chordata, Actinopteri, Semionotiformes, Lepisosteidae.